CCCUUAGACGUUCUGGGCCGCACGCGCGCUACACUGACGGAGCCAGCGAGUAUAAACCUUGGCCGAGAGGUCUGGGAAAUCUUGUGAAACUCCGUCGUGCUGGGGAUAGAGCAUUGUAAUUAUUGCUCUUCAACGAGGAAUUCCUAGUAAGCGCAAGUCAUCAGCUUGCGUUGAUUACGUCCCUGCCCUUUGUACACACCGCCCGUCGCUACUACCGAUUGAAUGGCUUAGUGAGGCUUCCGGAUUGGUUUAGAGAAGGGGGCAACUUCAUCUUGGAACCGAGAAGCUAGUCAAACUUGGUCAUUUAGAGGAAGUAAAAGUCGUAACA
Molecule: ribosomal RNA, 328 nt
Filed under: uncultured eukaryote
Lineage: Eukaryota
Description: partial 18S ribosomal RNA
Rfam family: Eukaryotic small subunit ribosomal RNA
Source: RNAcentral